AACGAACGCUGGCGGCAUGCCUAACACAUGCAAGUCGAACGAGACCUUCGGGUCUAGUUGCGCACGGGUGCGUCACGCGUCGGAACCUGCCCUUAGGUUCGGAAUAACUCCCCGACAGGGGUGCUAAUACCGGAUAAUUUCUUCUGACACCAGAUUUAUCGCCUUUGUAUGGGCCCGCGUUGGAUUAGCUUGUUGGUAGGGUAAAAGCCUACCAAGGCGACGAUCCAUAGCUGGUCUGAGAGGAUGAUCAGCCACACUGGGACUGAGACACGGCCCAGACUCCUACGGGAGGCAGCAGUGGGGAAUAUUGGACAAUGGGCGAAAGCCUGAUCCAGCAAUGCCGCGUGAGUGAUGAAGGCCUUAGGGAUGUAAAGCUCUUUUACCCGGGAUGAUAAUGACAGUACCGGGAGAAUAAGCUCCGGCUAACUCCGUG
This 433-nucleotide ribosomal RNA is filed under the name uncultured bacterium. RNAcentral's name for it is "partial 16S ribosomal RNA". It matches the Rfam family "Bacterial small subunit ribosomal RNA", at positions 29 to 507 of the family's 1533-position model. The record is from RNAcentral.